Molecule: ribosomal RNA, 430 nt
Filed under: uncultured Blastococcus sp.
Lineage: Bacteria; Bacillati; Actinomycetota; Actinomycetes; Geodermatophilales; Geodermatophilaceae
Description: bacterial SSU rRNA
Rfam family: Bacterial small subunit ribosomal RNA
Source: RNAcentral
GUGGGGAAUAUUGCGCAAUGGGCGAAAGCCUGACGCAGCAACGCCGCGUGCGGGAUGACGGCCUUCGGGUUGUAAACCGCUUUCAGCAGGGAAGAAGCGAAAGUGACGGUACCUGCAGAAGAAGCACCGGCUAACUACGUGCCAGCAGCCGCGGUAAUACGUAGGGUGCAAGCGUUGUCCGGAUUUAUUGGGCGUAAAGAGCUCGUAGGCGGUCAGUCGCGUCGGAUGUGAAAACCCGGAGCUUAACUCCGGGCCUGCAUUCGAUACGGGCUGACUAGAGUGUUGUAGGGGAGACUGGAACUCCUGGUGUAGCGGUGAAAUGCGCAGAUAUCAGGAAGAACACCGGUGGCGAAGGCGGGUCUCUGGGCAACUACUGACGCUGAGGAGCGAAAGCGUGGGGAGCAAACAGGAUUAGAAACCCGGGUAGUCC